This 496-nucleotide long non-coding RNA is filed under the name Lathyrus oleraceus (garden pea). RNAcentral describes it as "Pisum sativum (pea) long non-coding RNA (PSAT_LNC003965)". Lineage: Eukaryota; Viridiplantae; Streptophyta; Magnoliopsida; Fabales; Fabaceae. The record is from RNAcentral.
GCAAAACGAGCUAAACCCUGACAAACCAAACACAGAAGUAAGAGGAAGGAGAAGCCGAAAACUAAGCGAAAAAGGAGAAAGAGCUCGCGCACAAAAUCAAAGGAGCUUACUUGAGGUAAACGCUCAUCGGAGUCUCGCCGGAGUCGGAAGGUACCGGUGACGUCCUUCACCCUUUGUUCAACCUUGCGUAGGUAUCGUAACACCAUGUAGUCUCCGAUUGCGUGUAUAGUUUGAUGAUUGUGUUGCUUAUUCAUGAUUGAUUCUGAUUUAAGUAUAAACUAUGAUAGAUCCAUGAGGUAUUUUGAUGAUUUUGGGUUUGGAAUUGUUAUGUUGUUGUGUCAUUUUGUUGAAACUGCAUUUGUCUUGCCAAGGUAUGUUAGGGUUCCGAUGAUGAACAUUGUGUGUUCAUCUUUGAUUCUGGGUUUUAAGGAUUUUCUUUCUAAAUUUUGGGGUCCGUUCUUGUUGUGUUGGAAAGGAUGAUUUGGGUAAGGGUUUU